AACCACCAGAGAUCUUGGGAAUGUAAUACUAAAGCAGCUAACACUUGAGAUACUUGCUAAAUUUAUCAAAAUAAUUAUAGUUCUUUAUGUAGUCUUUGAACAAGUUUUAGGAUCUUUAGUUUUUUAAGUGUCAUAUUAAUUAGUUCACUAAUAUUCCCACUUCACUGUAUUUCUUCUUCUCCAGAGAUUUAUUUAUUCAGAGAUAGGCUUUGCAUGAUAUCCAAAGCAUAUAUAUGUAUUUGGUAGCAGAGUUCUUGAAGUCCUGGGAAAAACAUAAUGGGUGUUUGUAUGGUUUUGGCUUAGGUCACCUUUGGAUUACUUAUUUCUUUAGUCUUUGAAACAUAAGGCUCCUCUAACCCCUAUUUCUAAGGACUGUGUAAGUAUCUUUGGUUUGCUUGAAAAAAACAAAACAAAACAAACUUUGUGCUGCUAGAUUUUAAGAUUUGAGAUGUUAAAAAAUCAUAUAUUUGGAAAUUCAACGCUGUUGAAAAUAAGUUUUGUAAACUAAUUUUAUUCUCUGUUGUUUGUGUCGAGAUAGGAAGAAAUCAUUAGUACCAUUCAGCUGAGUAGUGUAGAAAAUUGGAUUUUUUUUUUUUUUUUUUUUUUUUUUUUUUGCUGAAAGAAUGGAAUAAAGACAUUUUAAUCAAAUUGUUCUUUGUACCAAUUCCAUGUAGGUAAGGUUGUUCCAAAUACUUGAUUUUUUGACAUAUUUGUGUCCUUUAGGUAGGAACGUGUGUAUUUCUCACUUUUUCGGGAAAAACCAUAUACCUUAUUUUUUCUACUUUCCCUCCUCAUUUACCCAUGGCUUCAUCAUUUCACUCCCUGUUCAUGAUUACAGACUUCUGUUUUCCAACCAGUUAACUAUAUUUUACUCCAAAAGUAGGGCAAACACUUCCUGGAUACUACCAGUACCUACUGUAUUCUAAACUCAUUCCCUAGUUCAGGUGUUAGGGUUUCUGAUGCUGAAUAAGCAUGUGAGAUAAGGAGGAGAAAAAAUACUGUCUUGGUACUGGAGCAACUGAGAAAAAAGUUUCCUGACGUUGAAACUCUCAAACAUUUUCUCUUAGACUUAGAAAGAAAGAAAGAAAGAAAGAAAGAAAGAAAGAAAGAAAGAAAGAAAGAAAAGAAAGAAAGAAAAAGAAAAAAAGAAAGAAAAUAACUAUGUCAUUGUCAUUGCAGCCUGUAAUCUCAUGUGAAGUAUGUCUUUGUAGAGUGGCCUGGGAAUCUGAUUUAUUCAUCAUUUAUAACUCCACUUCAUUGGUAAAAUGUGUUUCAGAAUCUAAAAAGCAAGUUUCCAGAUGAACUCUUAAAAUAUAUUUUCUUUGAGGAUGAAUUAAUGUUUGUUUUCAGAUUUUUAUCAAAAAUACUGUGGUGCUGGUGUUAGGGGUAGAGUUAUGGACCAUGGAUACUCAUACCAUAUCUUGGGUGCUUUUGGGGGUUUGGUUUAAUUUGGGAUUUUUAGUUCUUUGAUCUUUCCUGUGUAGUUGUCUUGAAUCAAGAUGAUGGGACUUAAGAUUUUUUUCACUUCUGAAAAUGAUACGGAUUUCUCUGCUACCCCUAUUUUCCCCCUCCCCUCCCUUCCCUUCUUUUCUUCUCUUCCUUUUCUGUAUUCAUAUACCCUCUGAUUUCUUUUCAUUCUGUGGAUGCCCCAGUGCAGUCCAUUUUUAUUUGGUCUUUGUACUUUUACUACUUCUGGGUUAUUUUUUUCUUUUGCCUGAAGAGAUCUUUUAUUUUUUUCUUAAACGUAGGUCCGUAUUUUGCUUUGUAUUUAUUGGGCUCCUAGGAUAUGUGAACUGAUUUCUUAUUACUUUUGGAAUAUACAUAACCAUUAUCUCUUCAAAUAGUGUCUCUGCUGUAUACAUUUUAUUACUCUGAACUCCUCUUAAAUGUAUGUUAGAAUAUCUCAUUGUUUUCUGUUUAUCUCUUCUGUACAUUCUAUUAUUUUCUUUCUUCUUUAUGCAUAGUUUCUUUUGACCUUUUAGUUCAGUAACUCUUCAGAUGUAUUUAAUUUGCUGUUCAGCUCAUCUGUUGACUUCUUUAGUUAUUCUGUUUUUCCACUGGUUGGUUUUUGUUUUUGUUUUGUUUUGUUUUUUGAGAGUAAAGGAGUGUGCGAGUCGGGGAGAGGGGGAGAGACACAGGGAGAGAAAGAGAAUCUCAAGCAGGCUCCACACUCAGCGUGGAGCUCAAUGCAGGGUUUGAUCUCACAACACUGGGAUCAUAACCUGAGCCAAAAUCAAGAGUCAGACACUCAGGUGCUCCUCUGUUUCUUUUUGAAAUAAGCUUAGUUGCUUUUUAGAGUUUUCUAGUUCCCUGCCAGGUUUUUCUACUCUUUUUAAAAAAAUUCCUUAAACAUAAGCCUCAUUGGUUUACAAUCAAUGGACAGUUCCAAUAUCUUGAGUACUGGUAGGCUGUAUUCUGUGCUUUUUUUCAUCUACUAUUGGCUCUUAUUGGGUAGUCUCAUCUCCUUUGACUAUAUGUUAGGCUCUGUAUUUAAAAAAUUAUUUAUAGAGAUAAUUUGAAGCCUUGGAUGUUGUUAUUUUCCUCCAGGGAGCAUUUUCCUGUGUUUACCUGGGCCAGGUACCUUGGGAGUACUAGCACUCAGAAGCACCUUCAGUUUGGAGACUUCAGAUUUUCUAGGUCACGGAGAUGACUUAAGGCCAGGGUGCUGUGGGCUGUUGAAGGACUGUUUUAUUUCUGAUUCACAUGAUUAUUUCUCAAGUGCAGCCCUUUAGAGUCCUAGCCCAAAGCAUGGCCCCCUUUUCUAAAGCUUUCUUUCACAUAGUUUAAGCUUUUCUUAUGUCAGGUUGAAGGGCAUUCCACUUUUGCAUUCCUACCAUAAUCAACCAAUCUCCCAAAGAGGAACCCUGACAUCUCAGCUCUUCUUAUCCUCAGGAUAGAGCUUUGAUCAUUGACUUUGGAUGUAGCAGCUUCAUGAACCUUACCCCCCUUUUACUCCUUUUAAUCUCAUGGCCUUGGUUAGUUCUGAUUCUUGACUCCACAGUCUUUUUUUUUUUUUUUUUUUUGGCCUUAUGUUUCUCUUAUCUAAUAUGUUGGCUAAUAGGAUUCUUUUUAAGUUUUUUUUUUUAGUGUUUUAUUUAUUUUUGAGAGAGAGAGAGCGCGCGCUAGCAAAUGAGCAGGUAAGGGGCAGAGAGAGAGAGGGAGACACAGAAUCUGAAGCAGGCUCCAGGCUCUGAACUGUCAGCACAGAGCCUGAUGUGGAGCUUGAACUCAUGAACCAUGAGAUCAUGACCUGAGCCAAAGUUGGACACUUAACCAACUGAGCCACCCAGGUGCUAAUUAAAUUCUUGAUUGUUGAUAGGAAUUGCUGAAAACUCAUGUAAAAUAUCUCCUUUCUUCAAGACUGUUACUAUUUAAGGCUGUGGAUCUCAAUCCUGUUUCCACCUAGAAUUACCAGAGGGAUAAAGAAAAAUUAUGUCUGAGCCCCAUACUGAGAGAUACUGAUUUAUUUGGACUAGGAUAAGGAUGCCUCUUAAGCUAGAACUCUAGGUUUGGGACCUGGGUAUUGGUAUGUUUUAAAAACUGUCCUUGUAAUUUUUAAUAUUCAGCCAAGAUUAAAAGCCAGUAACUUAAAGCUUAAGUCUUUAUUGGCCGUAUCAGAGUUCUAUAAAAAACAUCUGUAAUUAUCUUUCUGUGCUUUGAGUAAACAUCUGGAGUAGAUGUUGCAAGCAAUGAUUAAAAACAAAACUACAGCUUUCCAAAGGUCCAGUUGACCCUUGAAACAACACUGAUUUAAAAUGCGUGGGUCCACUUAUAUACAAAUUUUUUCCAUUAAGUACAGUACUGUAAACGUGUUUUCAUUAUGAUUUUUUUUCUUUUUUAAUGUUUAUUUAUUUUGAGAGAGAGAGCAUGAGCAGGGAAGGGGCAGAGAGAGGGAGAAAGAGAGAAUCCCAAGUAGGCUUUCAUUAGCACAGAGCCAGAUUCGGGGCUCAAACCCACAAAUUGUGAUAACAUGACUUGAGCCAAAAUCAGAGUCUGGACGCUUAACUGACUGAGCGCCACUGCUCCCUCCUCUCCGGCCCCCCCACCCCCCUGCCAUGUUUAAGAUUUUCUUAAUAACAUGUUCUUUUCCCUUGCUUUAUUAUAAGAAUACAGUAUAUAACACAUAUACAAAAUAUGUGUUGAUCAGCUGUUAUUAUCAGUAAGGCUUUUAGUCAACAGUAGGCUAUUAGUAGUUAAGUUUUAGGGAAGUCAGAAGUUGUAUGUGGAUGUUUAACUGCUUGUGGGGGGGGGGGAUCAGCGCCCCUAACCCCUGCGUUAUUCAGGGAUCAUCAGUACUGAAGAUACACCCCAAUCAAGAUACAGUCCAAUCAAGAUAGUAACCUCAGUUUUUGCAGUGUUAGUUUCAUACCUAUGGUUAAAAGCAUUGGUUCUGGAACUACAUGGGCUCAAGUCUUGGUUCCUUCUUUCUCUGGUCAUUUGAUUUAGAGUAGGUUAUUUUAUCAUUUCAUUUUUAAAAUGGAGAAAAUAAAAUGAUCUCUUUUAUGGAGUUGUGGGCUAAAUGAGUUCAUAUGUUAAGCACUUAGAACAGUGCCGGGAACUUAGGAAAGCAUUAUGAAAAUUGUUAGCCAUGAUGAUUAUGGUGGCAGUGGUGUGAUAUUCUUUUGUGUUGAUUACUAUUUUAAUCAGUCCUCUAUUUGUAGACAUAUUUCUAGUUUUUCAGUAUUAUAAAUACUGCUAUGACAGACAGCCAUUUACAUCAAUUUUUAUAAAUUUCUUCAAUUCCUAGAAUUAGUUCAUUGAUCUUGUAUAGGGUGGGAGUAAGUGUUAAAAGAAGCUUCUUUGAACCACCCCUAAUGAGGAUUAUUUUGUUAGAUUGGUGUGGUUAUUGUUAAUCCAAGUUUGAACUUUAAAUGGGGAUAACUAAUUGGUCCUUAGAAAAAUGCCACAACAGUGUCUUUAUGUAAUGUAAAAAAAGUUUCCCUCACUUUAUCUAGCUAUUUUUAAAAAAUUAUUGCCUAUAUUGAGGUCUGUGUGCCGAACACAAUUCCAAGUGUUUUGUAAUAUUACAUUGAUAUUUAUAAACCUGUGAGGUGUUUACAAAUCAGGUAAUUGAGACAUAGAGAAGUUAAGUUCUACAGUUGAUACAAGGUCUGCCAGGAUCAAAGGUAAUUUGAUUUUGCAUUUAGUGCUCCAAAAUUCUAAGUAUACUUUUCUUACUUGGCUUAUAGCAACUUUACUUUGAUCUACUUACAGAUGUUUAUUUACUUUUGUGAGAGAGAGAGAGCGCGUGCGCGAGCGAGUGCAGGAGCAAGAGCAGGGCAGAGAGAGAGAGACAGAGACACAGAAUUCGAAGCAGGCUGCAGGCUCUGAGCUGUCAGCACAGAACCCGAUGUGGGGCUCAAACCUGCAAACCGUGAGAUCAUGACCUAAGUCAGACGCUUAAUGGACUGAGCCACCCAGGUGCCCCUACAGAGGUUCUUUCUUAAAAGCCUGUUCAUAAACAAAGUUACAUUAAUCUUUCAGGUUUAAAGUUGCCUUUCAGGUGUAAAAUUUUAUUUCUUAAUUCUAUACCUAGUUACAAGUAUCUAGUUAGAGUCUUUAAAACCUCAAUUGGGUUUUCUUUUAAGGAUCAAUUUGCCUUCUGUGCCUUCUCUUUCUGCAGCAGACAUCUUAAUUUAUCUAGUGGGGCCCAUCUCUCUAAUUCUGACUUGCUCAAGUAGCUUUAUAAACGUUGUGCUUAUGCACGAAGAUGUUGAGGGGUGGGAGGGUUGCAGCUGCAAGUCAUUCUUUCUCAGCGAAUUUCCUAUAAUUCUUCUCAGUCUGAAGGUUGGAAUGAUUUAAUGGUUUUCUUUCCAAAGGGUAGACUUUUAUAAUGUUCCAUUUUAAAACACAUAUUAUAAACAAAUAGAUACCCAUGUAGGUACUCUGAAAUUUGGAAUUAUGGUCAUAUGAAUUGGAGGAGCUUAUGAUAUAAAUUUAUAAGCACAAUUUGAUAAAUUAAUCUUUGUUUACUUGGCUUUUGCUUUUGAGCUGUGACAAUUAGAUUAAACUUGUUUACUGACAAGAUGGAGUUGUAUAAAAUCUUUAACAAGUUUUUUAAAUUAAGAGUGUUCAGUACAAGAGAUAACUAAUAUUUCGUAACAAUGAUUAAGCCUUUUUUAGGUUAUUCAUUCUACUAACGCACGUUUUACAAAUAAUAGUAAACUAAUGUAAAUAAACAUGAUUAAGAUAAUUUCCUGUGUUAGUAAAUGUAACAAUACUCAGAAGAAUCUGAAAGAAAUAUAGAUCAUUUUUGAAUCAAAAACUGAAUGAAUAAAUCUGCAUAAUGAAAUGCAAGUUAAAAGAUUUUAAGCCUAAUUUUAGCACUUACACUUUUUAUUUAGUUUUGGCAGUAGUGGUGUGGGUGAUUGUCCAUGUUUAAAGUUAGUUUGAUUCACACAUUGUUUUUGAGAAAAAAAAAAAACAACAUAAGAAAAUUAAGGGAUGAUACAAAUAUGCAAAUCUAGAGGUCUUAAAGUGUACAUAAAAAAUGCCUUUCUUUGGUAUGAUACAAUAAUUUACGGUCAAAUAUUUUAAUAUUUGUGUAUCUUGUAAGUACCCUUUAGCAUCAUUUACAGGUGUCUCAUUUAUGGAAAACUCCCCCAGAUGGCAUCAACCUAUCUAGGAUCAAGGGGCAGAUUCCUGAAAUAACCUGGACCAAUGGCAUUUUCUUACCCGGGAAUUAUUGUAGCUAAUGUAUCUGUUCAUUCAUUCACCAAAUGUUUAUUGAAGGCCUGUUAUAGGAUAGACAUUGUUCUUUUGUUUUUUGUUUUGGAUAAACAUUGUUUUAAUUGCUAGAGAUAUAAUAGUAGAAAAGACAGAUAAAACAAAGUUCUUGCCCUCCUGAAACAAAUUAAAUUGUGGCUUGACAUAGAGAUGGUGGCAUUCAAGAGGGAAGACCCAUAAAUAUGUGCUGUCAUGGUCUGCAGAACUCCCCUGGUUCUGUCAUCCUGAUGAUUUAAUUCUUUCUUCAGUUCUGUGAACUGGAGUUCUUACUUCAGUAUCCUUCCAGUCUUUCCAAUAAAGCUGAUUGCUUCCCUCUCUUACUUAUAAUUUCUUCAAUUUGUUUUAAAUCAAAAGAGCUUAAAUAUAAUUGGGCCUGGAGUAGGGUUUUAUGAUGGACUCCACUUAGGUUAGAUGUCUGCUCAAGACUGGACAGACAGCUUGCCCAUGAAGAUGUGGGAUUUGCAUACAAAUGGUAACUUCUUAACAGUUUCAAUCUUAAGAACAGAGAGAUGAGCAUUUUACCGCAGAAAUUUGUUCUGUUUUCUCUAUAGACGAAACAAUGUCCCUACAGCGCAUACCAAUGUUGUGUUGUGUUAGGAUUUUCAAAUUGUAUUCUAUAGUAUCUCAUGUUUUUAUUAAGAAGUUAUAGGAACUUUCUGGACGUUAGGAUCUAGUACUUAUAUUUAAUAGUCUGUCUGAAGUUGACUUCUUCGUUCUCAAAAGAUGAAAAAAGCAAAAAUAUUCUGGUCUCAGAAGAUAUAAAAACUAUUACUUUUCACAAUAAUUACUUUUGUGUGUUGAACUAAUGCUUUCAAGAUUUUGGCCUUCAACAUUUUGUAUUUCUCAUAGCUCACUUAUUAAAUCAUUAAUAGCUUGAAGGCCGUCACCAUGUCACCACAUUCUAUAUAUGCCAUCUUAAACAGAGAUGAUGUUCAAUAAAUGUUGGCAUGAUUUGAAUUUAACAAAAAUUGACCAUAUAUAGUUUUAUCACGGGUUUGGUUUAAAUGAAUUCAUUAUUACAAGAUUAUGAAGUAUUUUUUAGUUGCAGAAAAAUAUUCAAGGUCCUCUCUUUUCUUUUUAUCUUGAACUGAUUUUAGACAGAAAAGUUGCAAAAAUAGGACAGAGUUUCUAUAUAUCCCUUACCAGCUUCAUCUAAUGUUAACGUCUUGUGUAGCCAUUGGAUGGUUAUCAAACCUCAGAAAGUAACACUGGUACAAUACUAUUAAGUAAACUAUAGACUUUAUUUGAAUUUUACCUGUUUUUCCACUAAUGCCCUUUUUCUGAUCAGGAUCCCACAUUGGAUUUAGUUGUUCUUUCAUCUUAAUUCUUCAGUACUUAGAAGUACUUUAGUGCUUUGUUUUUCAUGACCUCAGUUUGGUUGUUCAGUGGUUUCUCAUGAUUAUGUUGUGAGAUCGUUGAGCACAAUGGUCAAGAAAGAAUUCUUGAGAUGUUUCAUGGUGCAAAUAGUAAGUUCACUCAAGUAGCAUGGGGACAAGACUCAUGGGCAGAAAGAGCUGCACUUUUGCUCUCUGAAGCUGGUGGUUUGUGCUUAGUGCUCAAGGGGGAGGGGACAUGCAAGGAGUAUUAGAUCAUAAAUGUUUUCUUCAGAUUUCUACUUGUGAAACUACUUUCACAAGAUUUCUCUGAUGCUUAUUUUUCAGCUCGAUAUUAACUAUCGGUGAGAUGUACAGGCAGUCAUGAAACCCUUUAAGAAUAUAGCAACCAGCCCUUACUAUCCUCGCAGAAACUAUGCAGGCUGUAGGUCAUCCUCCUGGGCUAAAGGUGGACAUUUUUUGCUUCUAUCCCUCAUCAGUUAGACUGAAGUUACACAGGUUUGACAAGAAUACUACAAAAAUGGUAUGUGCUCAUGAAGUCAAUAUGUUUUAUUUACUGGUGAUGUUGAUUUUGUUCACUUGGUUAAGGUGGUUUCUGCUGGUGUAUCCACUGUAAAGCUACUAUCUUUCCCUUUGUAGUUAAUAAAUUUCUUGGGAGAUACUUUGAGACUUUGCAAAUAACAGUCAAGGACCCUUUAUCUUUCUUUUCUCCCUUUAACUAAUGACCAUUCAAAAUGGAUCUUUGUUUUCCUUGGGUCCCACCCAGUUCAGGUCGGCUUCCUUAAAUUUAGUUCCUUGUUCAAAGGGUCAGGUAUGCAAAAUGCUAGGAAUGUAAAAAUGAACAAGCGCCAAAUCACCUAAUAGUAUACUUUGGCAUCAGAAGACUUGAUUUCAGAUCCUCAUUUUGAGUCUUGAGUUGUGUGAAAUUGUGCAGUUUGCUUAACUUCACUGAGCCAAACGUUCAUCUCACAGAAUUAUUAAUGAGAAAUAAAUAUAAAAUUCUAGAAAAGGCAAAACUAAUCUGUAAUGAUAGUGCAUUAUUGGUUGCCUGGGGCUAAGGAUGGGAAGCUGAGUUCAAAGGGGGCUGAGGAAGCUUUUUCAGAUGAAGGAAAUUCCUAAAUUUUAAUUAUUUUUCUAAAACUCAUCCUACUGUACAUUUGAAGUUAGCAUAUUUUAUUGUAUAUAAAUUAUAUGGCAAUGAAGUUAAUUGAAGAACUGAAGUUCUUUUUGAACAUGAUUUUCUAUUUAAUGAUGCAAGAUAUGAUUACUUGGAAUCCAUAAAAGUCUUUGGUUUUCAAAAUCAUCCAGCUCUCCCCUAGUUCAGAGGAGCCUUGUGACACCAUGGCCAUGUGCAGAGUGAUCCAAGAGUUCAUUCAGGUCUGUAGUCUUUAUAAUUUAGUAAGUCUUGGGUCUAAGUCUCUUAAGUCACUUAAAAAAAAUUUUUUUUUAAUGUUUAUUUUUGAGAGAGAGAGAGAGAGAGAGGGAGAGAGAGAGAGAGAAUGAGUGGGAAAGGGGCAGAGAGAAGGAGACAGAGAAUCCCAAGCAGGUCCAGCUCUGAGCUGUCAGCACAGAGCCCGACACUGGGCUGGAACUUAACAGUGGGGACCUGAGCUGAAGUCAGAUGCUUAAGAAGUUGCAUGCUUAAUGCUUAACCAACUGAGCCACCUAGGUGCCCCUUAAGUCACUCAUUCUUAAAUAGAUUCCAAACCCUUAGGGAUCUUCUUUGGUGUGAUUUGAAUCCAGAGCCUUUGGUCUUCUUAGAACCUUUUGAAUUAAUGAUCUGGGAGGGGUGUGUUGAUUACCCAGGAGGUCAAGUUGACUGAAAUCCACUCUUGAGACUCUUUGAGUACAGAAUUUUAUCCUUUCCUUUGUAACUCCAGAAUAUGCUGAAACCUGACAAGCUCCUGGGAAUUCUUACUUGGUAAUCUGUAGUUUUUAAGAUUGGUGUACCCAUGUGCGUAUAUACAUAUGAACUGAUGUCUAAUUUAUUCUUAGAGUGUUUAAGGACUUUAGUAGAGAAAUAAUUUUUAUAUGUGUAUUUUAAGAUCUUGUUCCUUUCCAUGUAAUUUAAAAGUCAUAUUCUGUAGAAAGUAGAUUAGUAUUUUAUAAUUCUGACUUCUUGUUUUGAUGCUAGGCAAAAGAAGGAGAACUGUUAGGAUUUGUAGUGCUCACGGUUCUAAUUGGCAGCAUAUAAAGGCCGUUUAAUUUUGUUUUUCUCUGAUUGUAGUAAAUUCAAUUGGUAGCUCUCCCCCUAGAAAGAUCAAAGGCUGAAAGGAUUAAUGAAAAGAUGUAUAGUUUUUUAGAUAGUAAUAUAUUUAAAUAGAAAUUCUAAAUAUGCAGAUAAGCUACUAAUUGAUAGACUGCUUAAAGGCAGGGGCAGAGCUUUUGACUCAUGUAGUUGGUGUUUAAUACAGUUUUGUUAGUGGUAUCAAGAUGACUUUGAACUGUGCUGGAUAAAUUACAAUUACAUGUUACAUUUAAAUCUGAAGUAAAAAGUCAGGAUUGGAUUUUUACCUCAAAUUCAGGUUCAUUUUAAAGUACUGUAUAUUUUACACCUUCUGCCAAAUAUGUUGUUCUUUUAAAUGUAACUGAUGGCAUUUAGUAAAUAUAUACUAUGUAUGUUACAUAGUAUGUAUAUGUAAUGUGUAUAUGCAUUAUUAAUAGAGAAAUCUUACAAAUUUUGUUUUCAGGUUAUAUUCCUGUGAGAACCUAUUUUGGGGUGGGAUACAAGGGCUAAUAACUAAAAAUAACUGUCUUUCUACUAGGUAUUUCUAUAGGCUAUACACUUUUUUUAAAUAUAUUUUUUAAUGUUUAUUUUGUUUUUUGAGGGAGAGAGAGAGUGGGAGAGAGGUGGAGAGAGUGGAAGACACAGAAUCUGAAGCAGGUUCCAGGCUCUGAGCUGUCAGCACAGAGCCCAAAGUGGGG
Molecule: long non-coding RNA, 10985 nt
Organism: Panthera uncia (snow leopard)
Lineage: Eukaryota; Metazoa; Chordata; Mammalia; Carnivora; Felidae
Exons: 2
Source: RefSeq, a predicted model, not a curated record